Molecule: non-coding RNA, 3715 nt
Organism: Doryrhamphus excisus (bluestripe pipefish)
Lineage: Eukaryota; Metazoa; Chordata; Actinopteri; Syngnathiformes; Syngnathidae
Source: RefSeq, a predicted model, not a curated record
GGUUCAAUCUACAACCUGAGCCAUGUCCGACAAGUUACAUGAAUGGAUAACGUAAAUAUGGUUAUUCUCCAGCAGAGGGCGCCAUUGCAUUUUUUUGAGCAGGUACUAAUGAUACAGUACAAUUCCAACCAAUAUAAAGUACCAAUAGUGAUUUUUUUAGGGCUUCCAAAGUGGGGAAAUUACACUUUUUUAAUACUCAUACAUUAAAAAAAAUUACAAUAACUAUUUUAAAAUAGUUUUUUUAAUCAACUUGUUUGAGUUUCACUUUUGUCCCCCUUGCGAUAUUGUAAUUUAUUGAGCUGCACCUGUGUAUUAAGUACAAAUAUAUAAAAAAAAAACAGUUCUGUACAACGUCCAUCCAUCAUGUUUCAUCAGAGAUAUUUUUCAAGCAUCUGCGGUCUUUAACAAAAAUUAUUUACAGUUGCGGUCAGAAGUUGACAUAUGCUCAUACUGGGCUUCAAUGUUAUUAUUCCAGAAUAGAAUAAUUACACAACAUACGUUUUCAAAAAAAAUGAAUGAAUAGGGGGAAAAAUAUUUUUUUCUUCUAAUUUUUACGUAACGUGAUUUUUCAAAAUCAUUAAAGAUAUCGAUGUUGUGUAAUCAUUCUGCCCUACAAAAAGACAGCUUCAAAUAAAACAUUAAGCGCCCGAAGAUGACAUAAUAUUAAUCCCCACGAUGAGUGUAGGUCAUAUUUUUGUAUAUGAAAUCCAGUCCAGCUGAUGGACACAUCUCAUGUCUUCUUCCUCUUCACCAUGGGUCGUUCAAACACGUCUCUUACGCCCGCUGCCUUCUGCUUGAAGAAUUUGCUGUUCUGAGCCGUCUCCUGAGCCCACGCCGAGUCAAACGACGUGGUAUCCUGGUCCACCAAGUGGGUGUACUUGGUUCGUCCAGACCGACCAAAGUUUUUGACCUAAAUGAUGCAGGGGAAAAAUGCAACCAAUCAAAGGGAAAAAUUUACAUGUCGCGCAGACCUCACAGCUAGGAGACCCCAAGUUCAAUUCCACCCUCGGCCAUCUCUGUGUGGAGUUUGCAUGUUCUCCCCCCCCCCCCCGUGCAUGCGUGGGUUUUUUCCGGGUACUCCCGGUUUCCUCCCACAUUCCAAAAACAUGCUAGGUUAAUUGGCGACUCCAAAUGUGAGUGUGAAUGGUUGUUUGUCUAUAUGCGCCCUGUGAUUGGCUGGCGACCGGUCCAGGGUUUACCCCGCCUCUCGCCCGAAGACAGCUGGGAUAGGCUCCAGCACUAUAUUGACACUAACUAUGGUACCCAUUAUGUCAUUGGAUGGUCAAAUCACCUCGUACUUCGGUACGUGAUAAACAAAAAAUAAAAUAUUUAAAAAAAAAUUAACAUUUAAGAAAAUGAAAGUUGAAAUUUAAAAAUAACAGCUGUAAUUUUUUUAAAAUAAAGUCAACAUUUUAAGCCAAAAAAACUCAUAAUUAAAAAAAAAAAAAACUUAAACCAUAUUUGGAAAGCAGGAAGUGAACAAAUGUAACAGUUACUGAUUGUAAAUUUUUUUGAAAAAUUAAAGUUGAAAUUUAAAAAUAACAGCUGUCGUUUUUUUUAAAAAAUAAAGUCAACAUUUUAAGACAAAAAAGUCAUAAUUUUACAAGAAUAGACUCAUCAUAUGAUGACGGACAAUGAUGUCAUUUCUGUUGCAUAAAAUAUAAAAUAGAAAUACCAUAUAAAAAUAAUAUUAUUUUUGAAAAACUAACAUGAAAAAUAUAUUCUGUAAUAUUACGGAAAUAAAAUCAAAAUAUUAUGGUAAUAAAGUCGUAAUUAUACAAAAUAAAAAUUUAUGAAGAUUAUUUAAGAAAAAAGUAGAAAAAAUUUGACAAAAAAAAUUACAAAAAAAAACUAUAUUAGGAAAGCAGGAAGUGAACAAAUGUAACAGUUACUGAUUAUAAAAAGUACCACAUGGAGGGGUAGGAUUUAAUAAGCUUUGCUUCUUCCUACUCCUUUUGGACAUGUGGAAGUGGGAACUGAUUAUUACUGGUUAUGCUGGCCCUGACUGCACAUCAAUGCAGAACUAGGACUGUAGAUGUAUCUAUCCCGCUGUGAAUGUAGUCUUUGUUGCCCGUAUGAGUCAUUAUACACAUUAUUAUUAUUAAAAAUAACAUUUGAUGCUCACCUGCAUGACUUUGGGCAAGAUGGUUUUGUUGAAGUGGUCCUCCAGAGUCGGUGCACUGAAAUCUCUCUUGUAGACGUCUUGCUCUUCGUCCUGCAACAAAAAAAAAACACGUUUACAAUUUGGAAGGACCACCACCAAGAUAUUCCCGAGGCUGUGUGAUAAUUCCAGUGACCAUAAAUAAAUAAAUGUACUCACCAUAAAGAAGGCUCCUCGGUGGUAGUACUUCUGAAGGAACUUGUAUUUGCCUUUGGAUGCUUUGUUGGUGAUGACUUUGCCGUUGUUGCGGAGCUCCGCCCUGCGUUCCUCGUCUUUCAUGUUAUGGAAUCUAUCGAUUUCCACCUUUUCCUUCUCCAUCCUGUCAACAGACAAUUUAGCACCAUUGGCUCUCUCUGCUUUCGGGAUAUUUCGGCGAUAUAUCGCGAUACUUCGUUCCAUGAUACUGUAUCAAUGUUUUUGCAUGGCAUUUAUCAUAGACUGUAUAUGUUAUUUAUUCAAGUGCAGACACGGCAAAGAUUUUAAUUUAAACCUUAGUUUAGUGACCUUUAGUCAAUUAGGCAAGGAAGUUGAACGAGAUUCACAAGUGAAUUUUUUGGGGGGGGAAAAAAUCUGCGAAUCCACUUAGGAGCGAGGACCGUGAGGACCUGCCGCUAGCAAGCAAUGCCAAGGUCCUUUUGUAGUAUACAAAAAUAGUACUGUGAUAUUGCAGGUAUUUUGUUUUUCAAAUUGAUUAAUUAAAAUUAAUUAAUUAAAAUUAAAUUAAAAUUAAAAUUAAAAUUAAAAUAAAUUAAAAUUAAAAAAAAUUAAAAUUAAAAUUAAAAUUAAAAUUAAAAUUAAAAUUAAAAUUAAAAUUAAAUUAAAAUUAAAUAAUGGUUAUUUCAAGAAUUCCAAAAAAACCUUUUUACUGAUGUUAGUUAUUUUGUUCCACAAAAAUACUGGCUAAGUCAGGGACUGUAUACUCUGCAUUUUUUCACAGUUAAUAGAUCUUGAGACAUAAUUUAAUUUAUUUGUUUUUUAUGUUUUUUUUGUAAAUUUAAAGCUGGAUGUUAAACUUUAUUUAAAGUUAUUGAAAGUUUGUGAUACAGCAUAACAUACUGUUCUAAUGGAAUAAAAAUAUGUUUAGUUUAGUAAGUGCAUAUUGCUGCUGUAAUUCAGUUUUUCCAGGAAAUAAUCUUUAAGAAAAACAAAAAAAAUAUCGCCUUGUUAACAGUAUCGUGAUAUAUCGUAUCGUGAGCCUAGUAUCGUAUCGCCAGAUUGUCGCCAAUACACAUUAACCCUAUUAAGUCAAUAAGUCAAAUAAUCAUCGAUUCUACUCACAUUUCUCGAGUUUCCCUGUCCUUCUUGAUACGUUUCAGUUCACGGACUUUCCAGGCCUCGUACUCCUCCUCCUCGUUCUCGCCGUCCGUGUCCAGGGCGUCCAAAGCGGCGAGCGUGCGACGGUUCUCCUCAAACUCCUUCUUGGCCUCCUCUUCCACUAUCUUGAGGGUGUAACGCCUCCGCUCCUCCUGCUGCCUCUUGGCUUCGGCCUCCAGCUCCCUCUGCUUCUGCUGCUCCGCUUCUCGCUCGGCCACCGUCACUCUGUCCUUCCUGGGG